This 480-nucleotide ribosomal RNA is filed under the name uncultured bacterium. RNAcentral describes it as "bacterial SSU rRNA". It matches the Rfam family "Bacterial small subunit ribosomal RNA", at positions 28 to 517 of the family's 1533-position model. The record is from RNAcentral.
GAUGAACGCUGGCGGCGUGCCUAACACAUGCAAGUCGAACGGACUUACAUUGAAGCCUAGCGAUAUGUAAGUUAGUGGCGGACGGGUGAGUAACGCGUGGGUAACCUGCCUUGUACUGGGGGACAACAGUUGGAAACGACUGCUAAUACCGCAUAAGCGCACAGCUUCGCAUGAAGCAGUGUGAAAAACUCCGGUGGUACAAGAUGGACCCGCGUCUGAUUAGCUGGUUGGUGAGGUAACGGCCCACCAAGGCGACGAUCAGUAGCCGGCCUGAGAGGGUGAACGGCCACAUUGGGACUGAGACACGGCCCAAACUCCUACGGGAGGCAGCAGUGGGGAAUAUUGCACAAUGGGGGAAACCCUGAUGCAGCGACGCCGCGUGAGCGAAGAAGUAUUUCGGUAUGUAAAGCUCUAUCAGCAGGGAAGAAGAAAUGACGGUACCUGACUAAGAAGCACCGGCUAAAUACGUGCCAGCAGCCG